GACGAACGCUGGCGGCGUGCUUAACACAUGCAAGUCGAACGGAAAGGCCCUGCUUUUGUGGGGUGCUCGGGUGGCGAACGGGUGAGUAACACGUGAGUAACCUGCCCUUGACUUUGGGAUAACUUCAGGAAACUGGGGCUAAUACCGGAUAGGAGCUCCUGCUGCAUGGUGGGGGUUGGAAAGUUUCGGCGGUUGGGGAUGGACUCGCGGCUUAUCAGCUUGUUGGUGGGGUAGUGGCUUACCAAGGCUUUGACGGGUAGCCGGCCUGAGAGGGUGACCGGCCACAUUGGGACUGAGAUACGGCCCAGACUCCUACGGGAGGCAGCAGUGGGGAAUAUUGCACAAUGGGCGGAAGCCUGAUGCAGCAACGCCGCGUGCGGGAUGACGGCCUUCGGGUUGUAAACCGCUUUCGCCUGUAACGAAGCGUGAGUGACGGUAAUGGGUAAAGAAGCACCGGCUAACUACGUG
Molecule: ribosomal RNA, 468 nt
Filed under: uncultured bacterium
Lineage: Bacteria
Description: partial 16S ribosomal RNA
Rfam family: Bacterial small subunit ribosomal RNA
Source: RNAcentral